RNAcentral lists this transfer RNA (57 nucleotides) under Camelus bactrianus (Bactrian camel). It matches the Rfam family "tRNA", at positions 8 to 63 of the family's 71-position model. Rfam says of the family: Transfer RNA (tRNA) molecules are approximately 80 nucleotides in length. Their secondary structure includes four short double-helical elements and three loops (D, anti-codon, and T loops). RNAcentral also lists the same sequence under 3 other names. The record is from Rfam by way of RNAcentral. Lineage: Eukaryota; Metazoa; Chordata; Mammalia; Artiodactyla; Camelidae.
UAGCUCAGUGGUAGAGUGCAUGCCUAGAAUGCACAAAGUCCUGGGUUCAAUCCCCAG